Molecule: ribosomal RNA, 477 nt
Filed under: uncultured bacterium
Lineage: Bacteria
Description: partial 16S ribosomal RNA
Rfam family: Bacterial small subunit ribosomal RNA
Source: RNAcentral
GACGAACGCUGGCGGCGUGCUUAACACAUGCAAGUCGAACGGUAAAGCCCCUUCUUUUUUGGUGGGUGGGGUGGCGAGGGGGACGGGUAAGUAACACGUACGUACCCUUCCCCUUUGGUCAGGUUAACGGAAUGGGGGUGUGGCUCGUACGGGAUCUUCUGGUUCUGUGGGGGGGUGGGUAUGGGUCGGGUGUUGCGGCGGUUGGGGAUGGACUCGCGGCUUAUCAGCGUGUUGGUGGGGUAGUGGCUUACCACGGCGGUGACGGGUAGCCGGCCUGAGAGGGUGACCGGCCACAUUGGGACUGAGAUACGGCCCAGACUCCUACGGGAGGCAGCAGUGGGGAAUAUUGCACAAUGGGCGGAAGCCUGAUGCAGCAACGCCGCGUGCGGGAUGACGGCCUUCGGGUUGUAAACCGCUUUCGCCUGUGACGAAGCGUGAGUGACGGUAAUGGGUAAAGAAGCACCGGCUAACUACGUG